Molecule: ribosomal RNA, 1320 nt
Filed under: uncultured organism
Description: partial 16S ribosomal RNA
Rfam family: Bacterial small subunit ribosomal RNA
Source: RNAcentral
GGCAGACGGGUGAGGAGCACGUACCUGACCUGACACACGGAGGGGGAUAGUCCCCCUGAAAGGGGGUUGAAUACCGCGUACGCUCGUCAAGGCAGCUUGAUGAGGAGAGGUGGCCUCUGUAUGCACGCUAUCGCCGUGUGAGGGGGGUGCGUCCUAUUAGCUGGCUGGUGGGGUAAUGGCCUACCAGGGCGACGAUGGGUCGCUGGUCUGAGAGGAUGAUCAGCCACACUGGGACUGAGACACGGCCCAGACUCCUACGGGAGGCAGCAGUGGGGAAUUUUGCGCAAUGGGGGGAACCCUGACGCAGCAACGCCGUGUGAGUGACGACGCCGUUCGCGGUGUAAAGCUCUGUGAGGCGGGACGAAGGCUCCGGGUGAAGAACCUGCGAGGGUGACGGUACCGCCACAGCAAGCCCCGGUUAACUCCGAGCCAGCAGCCGCGGUAAGACGAACCGUACAAACGUUAUUCGGAAUCACUGGGCUUAAAGGGUGCGUAGGCGGCCCUGCAAGUUGGGUGUGAAAGCCCUCGGCUCAACCGAGGAAUUGCGCCCAAAACUGCGGGGCUUGAGGGAGACAGAGGUGAGCGGAACUUAGGGUGGAGCGGUGAAAUGCGUUGUUAUCCUGAGGAACACCUGUAGCGAAAGCGGCUCACUGGGUCUCUUCUGACGCUGAGGCCCGAAAGCUAGGGGAGCGACCGGGAUUAGAUACCCCGGUGGUCCUAGCUGUAACCGUUGAGCACUUGGUCGGAGAGUCCUCCAUAGCUUUCCGGUCGCCGCGAGAGUGAUAAGUGCUCCGACUGGGGGAGUAUGGUCGGCAGGGUUGAAACCUCACAGGGAUUUGACGCGGGGCCACCCCAAGCCGGUGAAGGAUGGUGGCCUUAUUUCGGAGGCUACGCCGUAGAACCUUUAUCCUGGGGCUUGACCUUGCCCGGGGUUAACCUUCGUGAAGAGCGAGGCGGACGCCUUUCGGGUGGCACGUGCCCCAGGUGCUGCCUGGCUGGCGUCAGCUCGUGUUCUGCGAUGUCGGGUGAGGUCCCUUAACGGGCGAAACCCUUGUCACUGAGUUGCCAGCGAGAUAAUGCACGGCGACUGCUAGUGAGACUGACGCCUGCUAAUCCGGAGGAAGGGUGGGGAUGACGAUCAAGUCCUCGAUGGCCAUGGAUGUCCAGGCCAGAACACGUCUAUACAACUAAAGCGUGCGACUAAAUUGCGAAUCUCGCGAGUGCAACCAUGUCACUCAAAGAGCGCCCCAGUUCGGAUUGCAGGCUCAUACUCNCCUGCAUGAAGCCGGAAUCGCUAGUAAUCGCAGGUCAGCAUACUGC